RNAcentral lists this ribosomal RNA (424 nucleotides) under uncultured eukaryote. RNAcentral describes it as "bacterial SSU rRNA". It matches the Rfam family "Bacterial small subunit ribosomal RNA", at positions 356 to 795 of the family's 1533-position model. The record is from RNAcentral.
GGGGAAUUUUCCGCAAUGGGCGAAAGCCUGACGGAGCAAUACCGCGUGGGGGAUGAAAGCCUAUGGGUUGUAAACUCCUUUUCUCAGAGAAGAAAUUUUGACGGUAUCUGAGGAAUAAGCAUCGGCUAACUCCGUGCCAGCAGCCGCGGUAAGACGGGGGAUGCAAGUGUUAUCCGGAAUAAUUGGGCGUAAAGCGUCUGUAGGUGGUUUACCAAGUCUGUUGUUAAAACUCAGGGCUUAACCCUGAUCCGGCAACAGAAACUAGUAAGCUUGAGUACGGUAGGGGCAGAGGGAAUUCUCGGUGUAGUGGUGAAAUACGUAGAUAUCGAGAAGAACACCGACAGCGAAAGCACUCUGCUGGGCCGAAACUGACAUUGAGAGACGAAAGCUAGGGGAGCGAAAGGGAUUAGAUACCCCAGUAGUC